GAGGGUAGAGCUCAGUGGUAGAGCACAUGCUUAGCAUGCACAAGGUCCUGGGUCCAAUCCCCAGUACCCCCA
Molecule: transfer RNA, 72 nt
Filed under: Camelus bactrianus (Bactrian camel)
Lineage: Eukaryota; Metazoa; Chordata; Mammalia; Artiodactyla; Camelidae
Also listed under: 2 other names
Rfam family: tRNA
About the family: Transfer RNA (tRNA) molecules are approximately 80 nucleotides in length.
Source: Rfam by way of RNAcentral